This is a non-coding RNA of Acomys russatus (golden spiny mouse), 402 nucleotides long. Lineage: Eukaryota; Metazoa; Chordata; Mammalia; Rodentia; Muridae. The record is from the annotation of a RefSeq genome assembly.
AUGAAAUGGAGCUGGAACAUCCUCUUCCUCCUGUCAGUAACUACAGUUGUCCACUCUCAGGUACAGCUGCAGCAGUCUGAGGCAGAGCUGAGGAGACCUGGGUCCUCAGUGAAGUUGUCCUGCAAGACUUCUGGCUACACCUUCACAGACCAUGAUAUGAGCUGGAUGAAGCAGAAGCCAGGACAGGGCCUGGAAUGGAUUGGAUGGAUUAUUACUUCAAAUGGUGGUACUGGCUACAAUCAGAAGUUCCAGGGCAAGGCCACACUGACUGUAGACAAAUCCUCUAGCACAGCCUACAUGGAGCUCAGCAGCCUGACAUCUGAGGACACUGCGGUCUAUUACUGUGCGAGAGACACAGUGUUGCAACCACAUCCUGGGUGUGUCAGAAACUCUGGAUGAGCA